GAUGAACGCUAGCGGGAGGCCUAACACAUGCAAGCCGAGCGGUAUUUGUUCUUCGGAACAGAGAGAGCGGCGCACGGGUGCGGAACACGUGUGCAACCUGCCUUUAUCUGGGGGAUAGCCUUUCGAAAGGAAGAUUAAUACCCCAUAAUAUAUUGAGUGGCAUCAUUUGAUAUUGAAAACUCCGGUGGAUAGAGAUGGGCACGCGCAAGAUUAGAUAGUUGGUGAGGUAACGGCUCACCAAGUCAAUGAUCUUUAGGGGGCCUGAGAGGGUGAUCCCCCACACUGGUACUGAGACACGGACCAGACUCCUACGGGAGGCAGCAGUGAGGAAUAUUGGACAAUGGGUUAGCGCCUGAUCCGGCCAUCCCGCGUGAAGGACGACGGCCCUAUGGGUUGUAAACUUCUUUUGGAUAGGGAUAAACCUACUCUCGUGAGAGUAGCUGAAGGUACUAUACGAAUAAGCACCGGCUAACUCCGUG
RNAcentral lists this ribosomal RNA (479 nucleotides) under uncultured bacterium. RNAcentral's name for it is "partial 16S ribosomal RNA". It matches the Rfam family "Bacterial small subunit ribosomal RNA", at positions 28 to 507 of the family's 1533-position model. The record is from RNAcentral.